This 486-nucleotide ribosomal RNA is filed under the name uncultured bacterium. RNAcentral describes it as "partial 16S ribosomal RNA". It matches the Rfam family "Bacterial small subunit ribosomal RNA", at positions 29 to 507 of the family's 1533-position model. The record is from RNAcentral.
AUUGAACGCUGGCGGCAUGCCUUACACAUGCAAGUCGAACGGCAGCACGGGUGCUUGCACCUGGUGGCGAGUGGCGAACGGGUGAGUAAUACAUCGGAACAUGUCCUGUAGUGGGGGAUAGCCCGGCGAAAGCCGGAUUAAUACCGCAUACGAUCUACGGAUGACAGCGGGGGACCUUCGGGCCUCGCGCUGUAGGGUUGGCCGAUGGCUGAUUAGCUAGUUGGUGGGGUAAAGGCCUACCAAGGCGACGAUCAGGAGAUGGUCGGAGAGGACGACCGGCCACACUGGGACUGAGACACGGCCCAGAGUACUACGGGAGGCAGCAGUGGGGAAUUUGGGACAAAGGGCGAAAGCCUGAUCCAGCAAUGCCGCGUGUGUGAAGAAGGCCUUCGGGUUGUAAAGCACUUUUGUCCGGAAAGAAAUCCUUGGCUCUAAUACAGUCGGGGGAUGACGGUACCGGAAGAAUAAGCACCGGCUAACUACGUG